CAGUCGCCGCGGGAAUACGGAGGGUGCAAGCGUUAAUCGGAAUUACUGGGCGUAAAGCGCACGCAGGCGGUCUGACAAGUCAGAUGUGAAAUCCCCGGGCUUAACCUGGGAACUGCAUUUGUGACUGUAUAGCUAGAGUACGGCAGAGGGGGAUGGAAUUCCGCGUGUAGCAGUGAAAUGCGUAGAUAUGCGGAGGAACACCGAUGGCGAAGGCAAUCCCCUGGGCCUGUACUGACGCUCAUGCACGAAAGCGUGGGGAGCAAACAGGAUUAGAUACCCCUGUAGUCCCUGUCUCUUAUAC
This 301-nucleotide ribosomal RNA is filed under the name uncultured bacterium. Its description in RNAcentral is "partial 16S ribosomal RNA". It matches the Rfam family "Bacterial small subunit ribosomal RNA", at positions 509 to 807 of the family's 1533-position model. The record is from RNAcentral.